RNAcentral lists this ribosomal RNA (440 nucleotides) under uncultured Erwinia sp. Its description in RNAcentral is "bacterial SSU rRNA". It matches the Rfam family "Bacterial small subunit ribosomal RNA", at positions 358 to 790 of the family's 1533-position model. Lineage: Bacteria; Pseudomonadati; Pseudomonadota; Gammaproteobacteria; Enterobacterales; Erwiniaceae. The record is from RNAcentral.
GGAAUAUUGCACAAUGGGCGCAAGCCUGAUGCAGCCAUGCCGCGUGUAUGAAGAAGGCCUUCGGGUUGUAAAGUACUUUCAGUGGGGAGGAAGGCGAUGAAGUUAAUAACUUCGUCGAUUGACGUUACCCGCAGAAGAAGCACCGGCUAACUCCGUGCCAGCAGCCGCGGUAAUACGGAGGGUGCAAGCGUUAAUCGGAAUUACUGGGCGUAAAGCGCACGCAGGCGGUCUGUCAAGUCGGAUGUGAAAUCCCCGGGCUCAACCUGGGAACUGCAUUCGAAACUGGCAGGCUAGAGUCUUGUAGAGGGGGGUAGAAUUCCAGGUGUAGCGGUGAAAUGCGUAGAGAUCUGGAGGAAUACCGGUGGCGAAGGCGGCCCCCUGGACAAAGACUGACGCUCAGGUGCGAAAGCGUGGGGAGCAAACAGGAUUAGAUACCCCAG